Molecule: ribosomal RNA, 591 nt
Filed under: uncultured Desulfomicrobium sp.
Lineage: Bacteria; Pseudomonadati; Thermodesulfobacteriota; Desulfovibrionia; Desulfovibrionales; Desulfomicrobiaceae
Description: bacterial SSU rRNA
Rfam family: Bacterial small subunit ribosomal RNA
Source: RNAcentral
GAGUUUGAUCCUGGUUCAGAAUGAACGCUGGCGGCGUGCCUAACACAUGCAAGUCGUACGAGAAAGGGGCUUCGGCCCUGAGUAGAGUGGCGCACGGGUGAGUAACGCGUGGGUAAUCUACCCUUGGAUUUGGGAUAACUUCGCGAAAGCGGAGCUAAUACCGGAUAGUCUGGCUUUAAUUAAGAAGUCGGUAAAGGAUGCCUCUGCAUAUGCAUUCGUCCGAGGAUGAGCCCGCGUCUCAUUAGCUAGUUGGUAGGGUAAUGGCUUACCAAGGCAACGAUGAGUAGCUGGUCUGAGAGGAUGAUCAGCCACACUGGAACUGAAACACGGUCCAGACUCCUACGGGAGGCAGCAGUGGGGAAUAUUGCGCAAUGGGCGAAAGCCUGACGCAGCAACGCCGUGUGAGGGAUGAAGGCUUUCGGGUCGUAAACCUCUGUCGGAAGGGAAGAACGGGCAUUGGUCUAAUAGGCCUUUGUUUUGACGGUACCUUUAGAGGAAGCACCGGCUAACUCCGUGCCAGCAGCCGCGGUAGUACGGAGGGUGCAAGCGUUAUUCGGAAUUACUGGGCGUAAAGCGCACGUAGGCGGCUUC